Molecule: ribosomal RNA, 253 nt
Filed under: uncultured bacterium
Lineage: Bacteria
Description: partial 16S ribosomal RNA
Rfam family: Bacterial small subunit ribosomal RNA
Source: RNAcentral
UACGGAGGGGGCUAGCGUUGUUCGGAAUUACUGGGCGUAAAGCGCGCGUAGGCGGACCUGCAAGUCGGGGGUGAAAGCCCGAGGCUCAACCUCGGAACUGCCUUCGAUACUGGAAAGCUCGAGUCCGGGAGAGGUGAGUGGAACUGCGAGUGUAGAGGUGAAAUUCGUAGAUAUUCGCAAGAACACCAGUGGCGAAGGCGGCUCACUGGCCCGGUACUGACGCUGAGGUGCGAAAGCGUGGGGAGCAAACAGG